RNAcentral lists this transfer RNA (71 nucleotides) under Yuriria alta (sardina blanca). RNAcentral describes it as "tRNA-Trp". It matches the Rfam family "tRNA". Rfam says of the family: Transfer RNA (tRNA) molecules are approximately 80 nucleotides in length. Their secondary structure includes four short double-helical elements and three loops (D, anti-codon, and T loops). Lineage: Eukaryota; Metazoa; Chordata; Actinopteri; Cypriniformes; Leuciscidae. The record is from RNAcentral.
AGGGGCUUAGGAUAGCAUUAAACCGGGAGCCUUCAAAGCUCUAAACAGAAGUGAAAAUCUUCUAGCCCCUG